Molecule: ribosomal RNA, 253 nt
Filed under: uncultured bacterium
Lineage: Bacteria
Description: partial 16S ribosomal RNA
Rfam family: Bacterial small subunit ribosomal RNA
Source: RNAcentral
GACGUAGGGCGCGAGCGUUGUCCGGAUUUAUUGGGCGUAAAGAGCUCGUAGGCGGCUCGUUGCGUCGGCUGUGAAAACCCGCAGCUCAACUGUGGGCUUGCAGCCGAUACGGGCGGGCUAGGAUUCGGUAGGGGAGACUGGAAUUCCUGGUGUAGCGGUGAAAUGCGCAGAUAUCAGGAGGAACACCGGUGGCGAAGGCGGCAUCCUGGACCGGCAUUGACGCUGAGGAGCGAAAGCCAGGGGAGCGAACGGG